RNAcentral lists this ribosomal RNA (492 nucleotides) under uncultured bacterium. RNAcentral's name for it is "partial 16S ribosomal RNA". It matches the Rfam family "Bacterial small subunit ribosomal RNA", at positions 29 to 507 of the family's 1533-position model. The record is from RNAcentral.
AGUGAACGCUGGCGGUAGGCCUAACACAUGCAAGUCGAACGGCAGCACAGUAAGAGCUUGCUCUUACGGGUGGCGAGUGGCGGACGGGUGAGGAAUACAUCGGAAUCUACUUUUUCGUGGGGGAUAACGUAGGGAAACUUACGCUAAUACCGCAUACGACCUACGGGUGAAAGCAGGGGAUCUUCGGACCUUGCGCGAUUGAAUGAGCCGAUGUCGGAUUAGCUAGUUGGCGGGGUAAGGGCCCACCAAGGCGACGAUCCGUAGCUGGUCUGAGAGGAUGAUCAGCCACACUGGAACUGAGACACGGUCCAGACUCCUACGGGAGGCAGCAGUGGGGAAUAUUGGACAAUGGGCGCAAGCCUGAUCCAGCCAUACCGCGUGGGUGAAGAAGGCCUUCGGGUUGUAAAGCCCUUUUGUUGGGAAAGAAAAGCGGCAGGUUAAUACCCCGCUGUUCUGACGGUACCCAAAGAAUAAGCACCGGCUAACUUCGUG